UACGGAGGGAGCUAGCGUUGUUCGGAAUUACUGGGCGUAAAGCGCACGUAGGCGGCUUUUUAAGUCAGGGGUGAAAUCCCGGGGCUCAACCCCGGAACUGCCCUUGAAACUGGAGAGCUAGAAUCUUGGAGAGGCGAGUGGAAUUCCGAGUGUAGAGGCGAAAUUCGUAGAUAUUCGGAAGAACACCAGUGGCGAAGGCGACUCGCUGGACAAGUAUUGACGCUGAGGUGCGAAAGCGUGGGGAGCAAACAGG
RNAcentral lists this ribosomal RNA (253 nucleotides) under uncultured bacterium. RNAcentral describes it as "partial 16S ribosomal RNA". It matches the Rfam family "Bacterial small subunit ribosomal RNA", at positions 524 to 776 of the family's 1533-position model. The record is from RNAcentral.